This is a non-coding RNA of Calidris pugnax (ruff), 1342 nucleotides long. NCBI's taxonomy places the organism in Eukaryota, Metazoa, Chordata, Aves, Charadriiformes, Scolopacidae. The record is from the annotation of a RefSeq genome assembly.
AAUACCUGUAAAAUGCUUGGGUGCCAUCCCCCAGGCCGCUGAGAGCAUCUGUUGGGGGUUCAGUGUCUGGAAAUGGAGAUUCUUCCCACAGUCUCAAGAUUUCCUAUCCUGAAACAGGAAGUGCGUGCCAGAACUUCUAAGAAGCUCACAUGACGUGUUGGAAUGCAGGCAGUUGCAUUAGGAUGCACACAUAUUCACUGUAACUGUCAGAAGAGAGCUGCCCAUAUGUAAGCGUACAUGCGUUUUCUGCUUUGCUUCAAAAGCAAUUGAUGCAGAAAUGUUAGUGUUUCAAGUGGAAAUGUGACUGAAUUUCACCCAAAGCCAUUGGACAAUGGCAUUAAUUUUCCUCUAGUACGGCAGUAGAAAGGAACUGAAUAUGAGGAAAAGCUGUAUCUGUACACAUGAACAUAACAUAAGCAGGAAUCAGGAAAAACAUCCCUAUCAUCAGCAUAGUGACUACCCUCAAGUCCUAAUUCCAGGAGCCGUUCUUUGUGCUGCUUACAGCCAGAAAAUUUAUCAUCCUAUCACCCUCAACACUCUUCUUUCUCUUUCCUGGCACAGAUGUUGGCAUUACUAGUGGAAGUGCAAGCAAGGAGAAUGCAGCUGUAACUCAUAUGACAGCACAACCUUCAUUGUUGACACCACCUGAGACGUGGCACCUUUUGGUGACUCAAACACCAGCCAAGGAAAAGGCCAAAGAGGGUGAAACUGUGGUCUUAAAUUGCUACUUUAACAGUCCACGACGUCCCUCCCUGACAGACCUGAAGGUGAAGUGGUACAAAGAAGAUGAAAAGGGGCAGAUGGACCUGCUGGGAAACAAUGUGACCGUCUUGCCAAAUAACUCCAGGGUUUUCAUGAGCGGAGACUUGUCCCAAGGGGAUGCCUCCCUGGUGAUCCUCAAUGUGACAAUCAGUGACCAUGGUAUUUAUUUCUGUGAGGUUACACUUCCGGAUGGGAACGUGGUGACAGGAGAUGGCACAAAGCUCAGAAUCAGGAGGGCUCUGGGCUUGUUUGGGAUAGAGGAAUCCAUUGGAACCAUCAUUGGGGUUGUGGCAGCUGGUAUCGGAGGUGUAGUGGUUCUGAUCAUUGUUUUAACCCCACAGCUGAGGAGGUGUGUCCUCUGCAUGAGACAAGGCUCUCGCCAAGGUAAGGAACACAAGCUAAAAUCUGGAAUCCCUUGCUAGAAAGAUGAACCCAACCGCUUAUUUCCAAAGAUUUUUUUUUUUUUUAACUUAAGGAGAAAUUAGCCAUUUACUUACCUCUGGUCAGACACAGGAUUUCUGGUUCAGAGAAUAACCAGUGUGGAUGAAACUCUAACUGGGCUGGCUCUAUAUUCCAUCUC